This 669-nucleotide ribosomal RNA is filed under the name uncultured Bacteroidota bacterium. Its description in RNAcentral is "bacterial SSU rRNA". It matches the Rfam family "Bacterial small subunit ribosomal RNA", at positions 83 to 750 of the family's 1533-position model. The record is from RNAcentral. Lineage: Bacteria; Pseudomonadati; Bacteroidota.
CAAUAUAUGAGACCGGCGCACGGGUGCGUAACGCGUAUGCAACCUACCUUUUACAGGGGGAUAGCCCAGAGAAAUUUGGAUUAAUACCCCAUGGUAUAUUUUAGUGGCAUCACUAGAUUAUUAAAGUUCCAACGGUAAAAGAUGGGCAUGCGUCCUAUUAGCUAGAUGGUAAGGUAACGGCUUACCAUGGCUACGAUAGGUAGGGGUCCUGAGAGGGAGAUCCCCCACACUGGUACUGAGACACGGACCAGACUCCUACGGGAGGCAGCAGUGAGGAAUAUUGGACAAUGGGCGCAAGCCUGAUCCAGCCAUGCCGCGUGCAGGAAGAAGCAUCUAUGGUGUGUAAACUGCUUUUGUACAGGAAGAAACACUCCCUCGUGAGGGAGCUUGACGGUACUGUAAGAAUAAGGAUCGGCUAACUCCGUGCCAGCAGCCGCGGUAAUACGGAGGAUCCAAGCGUUAUCCGGAAUCAUUGGGUUUAAAGGGUCCGUAGGCGGUUUGGUAAGUCAGUGGUGAAAGCCCAUCGCUCAACGGUGGAACGGCCAUUGAUACUGCCAGACUUGAAUUACUGGGAAGUAACUAGAAUAUGUAGUGUAGCGGUGAAAUGCUUAGAGAUUACAUGGAAUACCAAUUGCGAAGGCAGGUUACUACCAGUGGAUUGACGCUGAU